UAAGCGGAGGAAAAGAAACUAACAAGGAUUCCCCUAGUAACUGCGAGUGAAGCGGGAAAAGCUCAAGUUUCCAAGCGUCAUGGGCGACCAUGGCUGUAGACUAAAGGAGUGAUAUCCAUUUUGUACGACUCGAGUACAGAUCCGUUGGAAAGCGGUAUCAUAGAGGGUGAGAAUCCCGUUCAUGACUCGAGAGGAAAAAAAAACAUUUGUACAUUAAUGCGUUUCGCUUCCAAAGAGUCGGGUUGUUUGGGAAUGCAGCCCAAAACAGGUGGUAAACUUCAUCUAAGGCUAAAUACAGGCACGAGACCGAUAGCGAACAAGUACCGUGAGGGAAAGAUGAAAAGCACUUUGAAAAGAGAGUCAAAAAGUACGUGAAACCGUUAAGAGGGAAACGAAUGGAGCUAGCAUUUGUGCCUCUGUCCAAUCAGCCGGACGUUCAUUGUGGUAGCGACAUGAGGUUUUUUAUGUUUGGGGAGCGCAUUCCUUAAUUGGGAAGUGCCUCACUCAUGUCGCAAUUCGUUUAUUCCACGAGAACGGAUUUAUCCGGUGCACUUGAACAGGGUAUCAGGCCAACAUCAGUUCGGUAAGCCAAACGAAAGAGACAGGAACCUUUAAAGGAAGGUGGCUGGGGCAUGACCAAUUUUUUUUUUGUCUUGUCAAAGCGUUAUAACCUUUUUAGGAAACUUUUUAAAGUCGUGGCCUGGACUGAGGAAAAAGUGUCAGCGUGACUUUUUUUUACUCUUUAUAGGGUUGAAAAAAGAAACUUGCAGAGUUUCGCUGGGAUGCCGGGCAACCUUGACUUUUCCUUAACGGGUAAGUGAUGGAAGUCUACCUUAAGUGUGUCUCAUCGUCAUACGAGCAACGAAGGUCUACGCAUUAACCACGCUUGCGAUGUUGGCGAAAUGGCUUCAUCCGACCCGUCUUGAAACACGGACC
Molecule: ribosomal RNA, 936 nt
Filed under: Taeniellopsis sp. CMJ-2003
Lineage: Eukaryota; Ichthyosporea; Ichthyophonida; Eccrinaceae
Description: partial 28S large subunit ribosomal RNA
Rfam family: Eukaryotic large subunit ribosomal RNA
Source: RNAcentral